AUUGAACGCUGGCGGUAGGCCUAACACAUGCAAGUCGAGCGGAUGAAGGGAGCUUGCUCCUGGAUUCAGCGGCGGACGGGUGAGUAAUGCCUAGGAAUCUGCCUGGUAGUGGGGGAUAACGUCCGGAAACGGGCGCUAAUACCGCAUACGUCCUGAGGGAGAAAGUGGGGGAUCUUCGGACCUCACGCUAUCAGAUGAGCCUAGGUCGGAUUAGCUAGUUGGUGGGGUAAAGGCCUACCAAGGCGACGAUCCGUAACUGGUCUGAGAGGAUGAUCAGUCACACUGGAACUGAGACACGGUCCAGACUCCUACGGGAGGCAGCAGUGGGGAAUAUUGGACAAUGGGCGAAAGCCUGAUUCAGCCAUGCCGCGUGUGUGAAGAAGGUCUUCGGAUUGUAAAGCACUUUAAGUUGGGAGGAAGGGCAGUAAGUUAAUACCUUGCUGUUUUGACGUUACCAACAGAAUAAGCACCGGCUAACUUCGUG
This 484-nucleotide ribosomal RNA is filed under the name uncultured bacterium. RNAcentral describes it as "partial 16S ribosomal RNA". It matches the Rfam family "Bacterial small subunit ribosomal RNA", at positions 30 to 507 of the family's 1533-position model. The record is from RNAcentral.